Diachasmimorpha longicaudata is the source of this 1422-nucleotide long non-coding RNA. RefSeq lists it as uncharacterized. The transcript has 3 exons. NCBI's taxonomy places the organism in Eukaryota, Metazoa, Arthropoda, Insecta, Hymenoptera, Braconidae. The record is from RefSeq and is a predicted model, not a curated record.
GGGUUCGAAGGAUUUCUGAAUAUGGGAAAUGAGGAGAUCAGGAGGUCCCAGACAACAGUCCCAGACUAUACACAAACAUAAAUGUUUUCUUCUUCUUGAGUCGUCCUACACCAUCGGGUUAACUGAGGCGGAGAGCUGAAGGGUUCACUCUCCAAGGAGGGGGUCAUGUGGUGGAUGGGAUGAAUCGAUGUAACAGAAACACUCGCAUACUUUAUAUACAAAUGAUGGUACGUUAUAGUUUGAUGUUAAGGAUUACAAGAUACGCCAGUGGGUCAGUAUAACGUGUUGUUGGAAUUUUGAUCGCGAAUUUGGGUCUUAGACUCGCGUAUGGGAGACUCUGGGGCCCUCCGGUGUCCUCCUGAUCGUCCUCUGACUCUCUUGGAGUCUUCAAAACCCGUCCGAGCUUAAAUUCGCUGAGCUAAGCAGUCUCACGGUUUUACCCACUAAUAUUCUUUUGUAUCAUCGUUGACACAAGACUUGCACAGUCAAACAGGUCAUUGUCUUCACCUGGACGGUUGACAAAAAACCAUGAAACCGCUUAAUAGGACAUUUCAACGACGCCAUAAGAGUGCUGACAAUGGUCUAAACAUUCGUUUGAUUGUUUGACGUCAUUGUCCAGGUGACCAAUGCCGAAACCUUGAGGACUGCUUAUCACGAGGCCUACAAGACAUCGUGGGACUGCUGAUCAAUGUCUGGAUGAUAGGAAAGAGGGAUUGAAGUGCUCUAUUCCAUAAUAUAUUCGUCAAUCCCUGAAGAUUCAUCAAAAUUGAGAUGUGAAUGACUAUUUUGAUCUGGAAGUUAGAUAACAAUGAGACUAUAAAGGCCUGUGUGUGUGGGCUUCAAUCAAACUGGAUGAUGACCUUGGCAGCGAGUUAGUUUGAUUACGGAUGGACUUGUUCCUGGUACCUCGGUAGGAAUUGCUGAGUAUUGACAAGAGGACUAAGUUUGGAGCUUCCCGAAUAUGAGUUCGACCACUGGUGAUGCCAAUCGAGGGCCAACGUUAGUUCGAUAGGUCACCCCGGAGCCCGGUAGUGAGCCUAGUUCAUAGCUUGGUUCAGUUACAGCGAGAAAAUCACGAGAUGGCGAAAUCCUGGGGAGACCUUUCAAAUCCUAAGGGGCAACAGAGGCUCGCAGGUUACGAGGGUCAACAGGCCCAUAAAAGUCAACAUUUUUCAAGCGUCACAAAAUUGUGUAUUUAUCACAACUCAUUAUCAUUAAUUAAUUCAAUCGCAGACUCAAAGAAUUUCGUUAAUUUACAACAACUAGUGUAUGGUUCACGCAUAUAAUAUAUUAUAUGAUAUAUAGCAUAUGACAUAUCAUAUAAUAUAAUUAGAAUAUUAGUAGCAAAACUUUGAAAGUUAUUUAUAGUUUAUAAUUUGCAGUCUCAUAAACAAACAGAAGGAGAAAUUCUACAACACAAGA